RNAcentral lists this ribosomal RNA (108 nucleotides) under Chinchilla lanigera (long-tailed chinchilla). Lineage: Eukaryota; Metazoa; Chordata; Mammalia; Rodentia; Chinchillidae. The record is from RNAcentral.
GUCUACAGUCAUACCACCCUGACCGCGUCCAAUCUCGUCUGAUCUCGGAAGGUAAGCAGGGUCGGGCGUGGUUAGUACAUGGAGGGAAGAGAGUACUCCUCCUAAAUC